AGCAAUCUAUACUGUGAAACUGCGAAUGGCUCAUUAAAUCAGUUAUCGUUUAUUUGAUAGUACCUUACUACAUGGAUACCUGUGGUAAUUCUAGAGCUAAUACAUGCUAAAAACCCCGACUUCGGGAGGGGUGUAUUUAUUAGAUAAAAAACCAAUGCCCCUCGGGGCUCCUUGGUGAAUCAUAAUAACUUAACGAAUCGCAUGGCCUUGCGCCGGCGAUGGUUCAUUCAAAUUUCUGCCCUAUCAACUUUCGAUGGUAGGAUAGUGGCCUACCAUGGUGGCAACGGGUAACCGGGGAAUAA
Molecule: ribosomal RNA, 302 nt
Filed under: Aspergillus versicolor
Lineage: Eukaryota; Fungi; Ascomycota; Eurotiomycetes; Eurotiales; Aspergillaceae
Description: SSU rRNA
Rfam family: Eukaryotic small subunit ribosomal RNA
Source: RNAcentral